Molecule: ribosomal RNA, 513 nt
Filed under: uncultured bacterium
Lineage: Bacteria
Description: partial 16S ribosomal RNA
Rfam family: Bacterial small subunit ribosomal RNA
Source: RNAcentral
GACGAACGCUGGCGGCGUGCUUAACACAUGCAAGUCGAACGAGAGCGUAGAGAAAGCUUGCUUUUUCUACAAUCUAGUGGCAAACGGGUGAGUAACGCGUAAACAACCUGCCCUACGGAUGGGGACAACAGCUGGAAACGGCUGCUAAUACCGAAUACGUUCCGAAAGUCGCAUGACUAUCGGAAGAAAGGAUGGCCUCUAUUUAUAAGCUAUCGCCGGAGGAGGGGUUUGCGUCUGAUUAGCUAGUUGGAGGGGUAACGGCCCACCAAGGCGACGAUCAGUAGCCGGUCGGAGAGGAUGAACGGCCACAUUGGAACUGAGACACGGUCCAGACUCCUACGGGAGGCAGCAGUGGGGAAUCUUCCGCAAUGGGUGAAAGCCUGACGGAGCAACGCCGCGUGAGUGAAGACGGCCUUCGGGUUGUAAAGCUCUGUUAUACGGGACGAAUAAUCUUGUGGUUAAUACCCAUGAGAAGUGACGGUACCGUAAGAGAAAGCCACGGCUAACUACGUG